Molecule: ribosomal RNA, 253 nt
Filed under: uncultured bacterium
Lineage: Bacteria
Description: partial 16S ribosomal RNA
Rfam family: Bacterial small subunit ribosomal RNA
Source: RNAcentral
UACGUAGGGGGCAAGCGUUAUCCGGAUUUACUGGGUGUAAAGGGAGCGCAGACGGCAGUGCAAGUCUGGAGUGAAAGCCCGGGGCCCAACCCCGGAACUGCUCUGGAAACUGUGCGGCUAGAGUACUGGAGGGGCAGGCGGAAUUCCUAGUGUAGCGGUGUAAUGCGUAGAUAUUAGGAGGAACACCAGUGGCGAAGGCGGCCUGCUGGACAGUAACUGACGUUGAGGCUCGAAAGCGUGGGGAGCAAACAGG